GGUGGUGACCAUCCCGAAGCAACUGGGCCCCUUUCUAUGUCUUAGUACAUUUUGAUUCUUACAUCUUGUAUUAUUGCAUUAUAGGAUGAUUGUGCAUUGCUUUUCCUUAUGCUUUCCUUGAUGAUAUCGUAGCAUGUACUGGAUACCUGAUAUAGUGGAUUGAUAAGGAUUGUGUCGAGACUUGUGAAUCCUAUAGUGCAGAGAAAAAGAUGGGCUCAAUGGUUGGUUUAAUGUUAAACAAAGAACGAGUGGCAACUAGUUGAUAGUAAACAAUGAACGAGUGGCAUUUAGUUGAUAGUAAGCAAAAGAACAAAUGACACAUAUGAGUCGUAGAGUAUGUGAAACCUAUGGACUAUAUGAUGAUUGUAACCCUAGAGGAUAGGGUAUUCUCGAGACGAGGAUUGGAUCAUGCUCACGGUCUGUUUUUAAAUCUUGUGAUGGAAGCCCCACACAAGUAGUGCGCUCCGGAGUUGGUCACGUGGGAUCGCCUAUUUUGGGUCCCAAGGGAUCGCCUAUUUUGGGUCCCGGCAGACGGUCUCGGUUCGUAGUGCGAGUUAACCCUCCCUACCUUCGAGAUGGCUAGUGAGCAGUAGGCGAACCUUCAGGGAAGCCACGAGAUUAAGAAACAAGUAAAUGAGAUUGAUGAACAAGUACUUAGCUUUACCUUUUUGACAUGACGACAGGUUAGUUGCUUACCAUUUCACUGGACAUGCAUUCAUAUAUCUAUGAUUGGGCAUAGUAGUGUAGCUUUACUUUCCUGUCCUUACAGCUUUUCUUAUUAUCUAUAUAUCGAUAUAUCUACUUUUGCCCACUUGGACCUAGUGGGGAGAUCGGCGGAGUCGGCGGCCGAACCCACUGGGAACUAUGGAAGAUAGUUCUCACCCCACUUUUACAGGUUCGAGUUCGAGGGUCCCUGGCGAGUGUGAGGAUCGCGGUAAGGGCCUGGCGCCCUAGUUGCAUUAGCUGCCUACCUUUUCGCUUUAGCUUCACCCUGUUAUUAUGUUUGAGAGUAGAUGUUGUAUAGGGUGAGGCAUGAGUGUUGUACAUAUGUUUUGGGAAUGUUGUAAAGAAUGGAAUUAAAUGUAUUAAGGUGAAUGAGUGAAUGUAAUAGAUAGAACUUUCUCUCUUUAUGUACUUGUAUGUUUUAUACUUGUAUCUUGCUCUCGCUUGUUAGCACCGGUGGUGCUCCUUGUGAUCGUGUUUUUUUCGAAUUGAUUUCCUGGGCAAUUCCCUAUACAUGAUCGGUUGGCUAGCCUUGGGCGGACAGGGGAGGUCCUGUCUGUUCGGCGUCUGUUCGACGUGCCCGAACCGGACCAAAUUGGUAGCGGUCUCGGGGCGUGACACAAGGGUUCCAAUGCACUUUCGCACUUCGGAGUGGCCUUUCUCUCAUCGGAAUCAUCCAAAGGCCCACUACGAGCGAUGUGAGACUAGAUUCACUCACAAUUACCACUUGUAGCAUCGAAAGUGCAUUACAAUUCUACGAACCUCAGUGGCAGUGUGAGUCGAUAUUCAUGACUCCCGCACCAACAUCACCAGCCACUUGGCUAAAGAAGGACCUAUUCCUUUGCGGUUCCUUCGAACAUCACAAUCCCUCGAGAUCAGGACUACCCUUCGUCUCUGUGGUGUGGAUUUAGGAAGAUCGCAUCAACUCGAUGAACGAUCCACCACCACAACUCUAUGUGCACGGGUAGACCCUCUCGGCUUACUCAAGUACUCACCAGGUGGCACUUCACCACUUUGGCUAUUUGGAAGCCUGAUACCACCUUAUCAUCUCAUUGAUACCAUCUCUUUCUCAUCCAUUAACUUGGGGAACACACUCCGAUCUGAGUACCGG
This 1834-nucleotide long non-coding RNA is filed under the name Ananas comosus (pineapple). RNAcentral describes it as "long non-coding RNA (ACOM_LNC039917)". The record is from RNAcentral. Lineage: Eukaryota; Viridiplantae; Streptophyta; Magnoliopsida; Poales; Bromeliaceae.